Molecule: ribosomal RNA, 293 nt
Filed under: uncultured bacterium
Lineage: Bacteria
Description: partial 16S ribosomal RNA
Rfam family: Bacterial small subunit ribosomal RNA
Source: RNAcentral
GUGUCAGCAGCCGCGGUAAUACGUAGGCAGCGAGCGUUGUUCGGAGUUACUGGGCGUAAAGGGUGCGUAGGCGGCCUAUUAAGUUUGUCGUGAAAUCUCCCGGCUCAACUGGGAGGGUGCGGCGAAUACUGAUGGGCUUGGAGUGUGGGAGAGGAGAGUGGAAUUCCUGGUGUAGCGGUGAAAUGCGUAGAUAUCAGGAGGAACACCGGCGGUGUAGACGGCUCUCUGGACCAUAACUGACGCUGAGGCACGAAAGCGUGGGUAGCAAACAGGAUUAGAAACCCUAGUAGUCC